GUGUCAUAAUCAUACAUAGAAUGUCUUCUUUGACUGAUACUAUUUAUCUCUGGUAAAAUUAGUGAAGGCAUGUUUAGUUGCACAGAAAGACGCCUCUUAGAAAACAUUGAGUAUAAGACUUAAAGCUUGAUCCGAGAAUGCUUGAGGGAGAAAUAACGAGUACACACUAUUUACCAGACAGACAAGACCUUCCCAUUUGGUGUUGUCCAAUGGCCCCAGACAUUUGCUUGAAUCUAGUGGAUUUAUGCUACUUAGCCAAGGCAUUCAUCUAAACACCUUCAAAUAUUAGCACUGGGGAUCAUUAAUGCCUUUAUGCCAAGUGCUAUUUUUGUAUAUAUUGAUGGGUCAGCAUUGAUGAAGCCUACAAUGAGUUUCUUGGCUCUUUGGACCAUGAGGUACUGUUUUUAGCUUGCAGUUUUGAUGAAGAGGCCAUGGUCAUCUGUGAAACCUUAAAAAUCAUGGCUCUUGACUGGGUGAGGUCAUAUGUCAGCAUGUCUCAUAUUCUUUUUGAAUGCCCCUGACAUGCUGAUCUCCAUCUUGACAGGUCUAGGAAAUCACAAAUUAUCGACCUGUAUGGUGACAUGCAUGCACUAUCCAAAACAGCAAGGUUUCUCUCCAGGGCUUUGCAAAAGAGGAUUUGAACUUCUCAAGCCUUCAAUGAUAUACACAUUACUAAAAAGCAUCUGAUUUUUUUUAACUUUUUUUAUUCCUUGAGAGAAAAUGAAAUGAUUAUUACCAUUGUUAUAAAUUUCUUUUCAGCCUGGAUGUGAAUCCAGAACAGUAACAUUAAAUGUAAAGAGAUA
Biomphalaria glabrata is the source of this 803-nucleotide long non-coding RNA. RefSeq lists it as uncharacterized. The transcript is spliced from 3 exons. Lineage: Eukaryota; Metazoa; Mollusca; Gastropoda; Planorbidae. The record is from RefSeq and is a predicted model, not a curated record.